RNAcentral lists this unclassified non-coding RNA (703 nucleotides) under Hevea brasiliensis (rubber tree). Lineage: Eukaryota; Viridiplantae; Streptophyta; Magnoliopsida; Malpighiales; Euphorbiaceae. The record is from RNAcentral.
CCCUCCACUAUAUCAAAUCUUUUUACAUGUACUAACAUGUCCCUCUAGUGUCUAGACUAUAAAGAUGAAAAACCUACAUGAUUGCUCCUUUCAAGUGAAAGCUUUCCCAUCUCAUAACUGCCUGGGUUGUAGGCAGGAACUUCUUCAGUAGUUUCUGCCCUUUCAAGCUCCUGCAAAGCUCUCUUUGCAUAAACGGUGAAAGCAACGGUGGUAAUGAUAGCGAUAAUAAAGGAGAUGACAUUGUAUAUGAUUUCCAAAGUAGUCAAGUGAUAGUUCCCAUAUUGCACAUCAGCAAAUGUUCUUAUUAGCCGACCACUAUAGAUGUAGAUAAAAGCUUCUGGCACCAUUCCAGCAACUGAACCACAUAAAUAUGGCCAAAAUCUCAUACUUGUUACCACUAUUGCAUAGUUGAAAAUUGUAUAUGGAAAUGGUGAGACCCUAAAGAGCGCAACUACUCGAAAUUGAUGGAACCAACUGCCUUCACCAGCAAGUCUGAUCAUAGCAGCUUUCUGGGGCCAUCUCUUUAACCAUUGAUGGAUGCGGUCACGGAACAGUAGCCCUAUCAAAUAGGGCAAGAUCAUUCCAAUAGUAGUUCCAACCAUAAUUAUGACAAAUCCGAUACCAUAUCCAAAAAUCAUCCCAGCCAACCACAUGGAAGGUCCUGAAGGAAUUAAAAACACAGGGAACAAGGCCAGAGAAGCAA